Molecule: ribosomal RNA, 331 nt
Filed under: uncultured Anaplasma sp.
Lineage: Bacteria; Pseudomonadati; Pseudomonadota; Alphaproteobacteria; Rickettsiales; Anaplasmataceae
Description: bacterial SSU rRNA
Rfam family: Bacterial small subunit ribosomal RNA
Source: RNAcentral
CGGUGGAGCAUGUGGUUUAAUUCGAUGCAACGCGAAAAACCUUACCACUCCUUGACAUGAAGAUUAGAUCCUCCUUAACAGGAGGGCGCAGUUCGGCUGGGUCUUGCACAGGUGCUGCAUGGCUGUCGUCAGCUCGUGUCGUGAGAUGUUGGGUUAAGUCCCGCAACGAGCGUAACCCUCACCCUUAGUUGCCAGCGGGUAAUGCCGGGGACUUUAAGGGAACUGCCAGUGGUAAGCUGGAGGAAGGUGGGGAUGAUGUCAAGUCAGCAUGGCCCUUAUGGGGUGGGCUACACACGUGCUACAAUGGUGACUACAAUAGGUUGCAACGCCG